This 595-nucleotide ribosomal RNA is filed under the name uncultured marine eukaryote. Its description in RNAcentral is "SSU rRNA". It matches the Rfam family "Eukaryotic small subunit ribosomal RNA", at positions 616 to 1215 of the family's 1831-position model. The record is from RNAcentral.
CAGUUGAAAAGCUCGUAGUUGGAUUUCGGAGUGGGCCAGUUGGUCCGCCGCAAGGUGUGUUACUGACUGGUUUGCUCUUCUUCGCAAAGACUGCGUGUGCUCUUGAGUGAGUGUGCGUAGGAUUUACGACGUUUACUUUGAAAAAAUUAGAGUGUUCAAAGCAGGCUAUUGCUUGAAUACAUGAGCAUGGAAUAAUGGAAUAGGGCUUUGGUCCCAUUUUGUUGGUUUCUAGGGCCGAAGUAAUGAUUAAGAGGGACAAUUGGGGGCAUCCGUAUUUCGUUGUCAGAGGUGAAAUUCUUGGAUUUACGAAAGACGAACAACUGCGAAAGCACUUGCCAAGAGUGUUUUCAUUAAUCAAGAACGAAAGUUAGAGGAUCGAAGACGAUCAGAUACCGUCCUAGUUCUAACCAUAAACGAUGUCGACUAGGGAUCAGCGGGCGUUAUCGUACGACCCCGUUGGCACCUUUACGGGAAACCAAAGUUUUUGGAUUCCGGGGGAAGUAUGGUUGCAAAGCUGAAAACUUAAAGGAAUUGACGGAAGGGCACCACCAAGGAGUGGAACCUGUGGCUCAAUUUGACUCAACACGGGAAAACU